RNAcentral lists this ribosomal RNA (497 nucleotides) under uncultured bacterium. RNAcentral's name for it is "partial 16S ribosomal RNA". It matches the Rfam family "Bacterial small subunit ribosomal RNA", at positions 28 to 507 of the family's 1533-position model. The record is from RNAcentral.
GAUGAACGCUGGCGGCGUGCCUAAUACAUGCAAGUCGAGCGAACGGACGAGAAGCUUGCUUCUCUGCUGUUAGCGGCGGACGGGUGAGUAACACGUGGAUAACCUACCUAUAAGACUGGGAUAACUUCGGGAAACCGGAGCUAAUACCGGAUGAUAUUUUGAACCGCAUGGUUCAAAAGUGAAAGACGGUCUUGCUGUCACUUAUAGAUGGAUCCGCGCUGCAUUAGCUAGUUGGUAAGGUAACGGCUUACCAAGGCAACGAUGCAUAGCCGACCUGAGAGGAUGAUCGGCCACACUGGAACUGAGACACGGUCCAGACUCCUACGGGAGGCAGCAGUAGGGAAUCUUCCGCAAUGGGCGAAAGCCUGACGGAGCAACGCCGCGUGAGUGAUGAAGGUCUUCGGAUCGUAAAACUCUGUUAUUAGGGAAGAACAUAUGUGUAAGUAACUGUGCACAUCUUGACGGUACCUAAUCAGAAAGCCACGGCUAACUACGUG